This 743-nucleotide long non-coding RNA is filed under the name Homo sapiens (human). Its description in RNAcentral is "non-protein coding lnc-CIDEA-1:4". The record is from RNAcentral. Lineage: Eukaryota; Metazoa; Chordata; Mammalia; Primates; Hominidae.
AAAUAGCCCUCGCGCCACUGUCCAGAACAGACGAUAAGAAUUUCACAGGACUUUCGUCUGGAAGUUUGCGGUUGACAAUGCGUUUUUACCUACAUGAUCACAGUAACUUUCCCAGCAAGGCUGUUAGCUAAAGAAGGUGCCCUCCCCGCCCUGGAGCCUGAGAGAGGACGAGCUGCAGCCUUGUCCAAGAGAAAGGCCCGGGGGACCCAGCCAUCCACCUCCCUGCCCACCACCACCCUUCCUUCCAAGGAGCACGCAAGACCAAGCCUAGGACUCGCUACAAAGCUCGGUUCCUAACUAGACCGGCGGGGACUGACUAGGAAUGGAAUCCAGGCAAACACCUGGCCGAUCAUAAUCAGGUGCAAACCAUUCUGAUUCUAUUUUUUAAUGCCAUUCUAAUUUAUAAUAUGUUAAACUCUGAGAAAAGCCUAGAGAGAGCCACUUUGCUAAGGCGUGCAUUAUUCAAUUUUUCCUUAUUCCAGUCAUAAUAUUCUGGGUCCUCCUCUCAUAAUAUUCUGGGUGCCUCCUGCAAGGCAAGCUUUCUGCCGUCCUAGUCUCUCCAUUCACAAUCACUCGCUUAGGGCAUUGGCAUAGAAAGUAACACACUGAGUCUUAUGCACAACACGCAGGAGGUGUCCUCUUUAACCUUCAGGAAUGUGUAUUCUAGUGCCGGAGGUGGGACUUCUGAAUGUGAAAGGCGGGAUCCUCUGCUGGGACAGGGCUUGGUGAGUGCAGAGGCUGCG